AUCCGAGAAGCUGGCGGGACUCGGCAGUAGGGAUGUUUGGUCUGAGGACGAGCUGAGGAGGGAAGCGGCUUGUAAACAAGAGGAGUUAGAGUGAGGAAAUGCUGCAGCGCGAAGCUGGGAGACGGCAUCGACAGAGAGGAGGCUCGGAACCGUGUGCCGACAAGAUGAAAUAAAGCUAAGAUUAAUGGGAUUCGGUGAUGCAAAUAGAAGGCAACGGCGAUCUGUUCAAGUAGAGCUCCCCGGCUUGGCAGUGGAUUAGGGGUCGGAGCGGUAGGCAGCAGGAUGGCAGCGUGCUGCUGCUGUGAGGGGCUCAGAAAGUACGUGAGUAAAAAGGCCGCCCUCUGGAAUGUGCUGCGGGAGGGCCUCCGUCGGCUGUGCAAAACAUGGAUGUCGGAGUGCAUGGCUGCCGAGUCCUUAUCUGCAGCCCGGCUGAUCGCCCACGUUCAGAUAAACGGUUCUGAACAGAUGCAGAAUAGGGCUGUGGAUGUUAAGAAGAAUGAAGAGUCUGCUUGCUGGGAGACAGGAAAGUUGUGUGGUUUUUAUGUAUGGGAGGAAAGGAACUUGCAAGCUCAAGGUUAGCAUAAGCAAGCUUAAAGAAAGUGAAUGCAGUUCACUGGAAAUAGCAAGAAAAGUUCUCACUGUUGUUCUGUAAAUGCUCUGGAGAGGUUUCAAAUGGGCAAGAAAACUCAAUUGCUUUUGAAAUAAAGUUUGAAAAAUUCAGAAAAGAAGAUCAGUGUGUGACUCUGCAGAGUAGUGGGGAGUUUGGCUCAGGAAUCCUGAAUGUCCCAUCUAUUAGUUCAGUGCUCUUGUGACCCAGCAAAAUGGACUAUGAGAUGGAUGAGUACUUCUGCAGUGGGCCCAUUUUGAUACGGCUGUUGUCAUCAUGCUUUCCUUUUCCAUUAUUCAAGUGUUUUUUUUUUUUUUCUUUGGGACCCGUACCAGAAGCAGAGUACUUCAAUUAUAUUCACUGCCAGAUGCAUCUCAUGUGUACGUUCGGCAUUAUGCUCACAGAAUGGAAGCUGUGUUCUUUACCUUGCUCACUUCAACGUGUGAAGUUUCUGUACAUUUCCACCCUUAUAUAUCGAAUAACUGUUGAGGUGUACUCACACAGCUCUGCAGGACUUUCUGUCCCUGGAUGUGCUAUUAGUAGAAGUCCUCAUGGAACAAUUUUUAGGAAAACAUUUAAAUGAAAAACUUGAAGUCUUCUAGGGCAAGGCAAUAUUGCAUUCAUGAAUGUGUGUGCAAUCAGCUCCCUUGUGAUGUUACCUGAGACCUUAUAUCUUUCUUCUGCUUUUAUUUUUAGUGUCUGUAGUUUUUACAUACCACACUUAGUGCAGCAUCAAAAAGCUAACAGAAGAAUGUUGACAUUACAGAAUGUUGCUCUUCAGACCAAGGCUGCCAUGGUCCAGGCAGACAUUUUAGAUUCCUUCCAUUGCUAUCUGGGAAAUCUCCAUAACACAGGAAAUUAAACAAUCAUUGCUCAGCCGUCCUUUUUCAUUUUUAUCUUAUAGCCCACAACUGAUCCAGGUUAUUCAGAGAGGAAAAAAAACAGUGUUAUGGAGGUAACAUCCCACUCGGUGGUCAGUAGAAAACUAAGUGAUCGCAUCACUCUCUUCAUCAACGCAUGCCUUAAGUGCUUCCAGUAGCUCUUUUUCUAGUUGCUGAAACCGAGUAGUGAAUAGAUUAUAGGGAUUAAACUUCUUUCAUUCCCCUGGAGGUGAGCAAGUCAUGUGAAAAUGAAAGGCUUGUUUGGUAGGAGACAGUAUGAAAGACUGGGAAUACAAAUAUAUAUAUAUAUUAUCUCUAAAUGGCUUCUUGCACACUUUGUCUUUAACAGAUGGUUUUAUGUGAGCUGCAGACAGAAACUUGAGGCUUACAGGGCAGAAAUGGGACUGAACUAAAUCUAUGAGUAUGGAAUGAAACAAUGCUUGGUCAUUAUUGAAACUGGAUUCCUGAAACGUUUUUCUUUUAUCUUGGGCCACCUUCCAUGUGAUGGAGCAAUGUAGCUAAGCUGUAGGUUGCCUUACGCUUGCAACACUGCAACCCCGAGGGAGAUUGCAUCUGCAGAGAUCUGCCUUCAUGCCUGGAUUGAUAAGUGAUGCUGGGGAAGCAUCUUGGCAAGAUGCUGCUGCAGUAUCCUGUCUCCUCAUCACGUCGCCCUCUGGAAGACAGAAGUGACGAUCAGCGGUGCGCUGCUGUCCUGCAGGCAGUUGAAGAACCACUUUGACAGCUAGCAGGAGAAAACUAUGCAAUGUAAUCACAGCCUGUCUGUGCUCUUUCUAACAAUGUACGGUAGCACCCUAUUCCCAGUGAGGGGAUGCUAUGUCCUCCCUCUGAUGAUCUGUAUUCUUCUCCGUUACUGUAACUAAGCUGUUUCUUUCCCACAGCCAUGUGUUCCUGCAGAAAUAGCAAGGAUACCCCACGCAGAUUAAGGUUUACAAAUUCAGGAGGGGCUUGGACAGAGAAAAGGAGAAUGAAGUAAUUCCAAAAUAUUUGUACUCCGGCUGAUAAAACUAGCAGGAGAGCUAAUGUUGUGUGGGGUUUGCUGUAGGGUAGAAGGAAACCCGGGGACAAACUGUCUCCUCUUAGACCUGCUAUAAGUGCUGUAUGAUAAAGGUGAAUUUCCAAACUUAGCCAUAAAGCUGCAGGUCAGCCAGCAGGACGGCGGCUUGUCCCACUUCCCACUGCAGGCUGUAUAGAAGCUGCGUGUUGGAUCCGAUGGGGUUUGAAUCCUACCACAAAAACAAUGGAUGUUCUCAAGGUCGGGAGCACAGCUUUCUGUUAUGUGGUUUUGAAUGGAAGAAUUAUUGUGUAUCUAUUUAUGUAAAAUGGAAAAUGUAAAAAAA
Long non-coding RNA from Lagopus muta (rock ptarmigan), 2846 nucleotides. RefSeq lists it as uncharacterized. NCBI's taxonomy places the organism in Eukaryota, Metazoa, Chordata, Aves, Galliformes, Phasianidae. The record is from RefSeq and is a predicted model, not a curated record. The transcript is spliced from 3 exons.